Molecule: non-coding RNA, 23 nt
Filed under: Arabidopsis thaliana (thale cress)
Lineage: Eukaryota; Viridiplantae; Streptophyta; Magnoliopsida; Brassicales; Brassicaceae
Source: RNAcentral
GGGUAGUGUGCAAAGGGCAUUCU